CCUACGGGUGGCUGCAGUGAGGAAUCUUCCACAAUGGGCGCAAGCCUGAUGGAGCGACACCGCGUGAAGGAUGAAGGUCUAACGAUUGUAAACUUCUUUUCUGGGGGAGCAUAAUGAGAGUACCUCAGGAAUAAGGGACGGCUAAAUACGUGCCAGCAGCCGCGGUAAUACGUAUGUCUCGAGCGUUAUCCGGAAUUACUGGGUGUAAAGAGUUCGUAGGCGGCGAAUUAAGUUAGGUAUGAAAGACCGGAGCUCAACUCCGUGUUUGUGCUUAA
This 275-nucleotide ribosomal RNA is filed under the name uncultured bacterium. RNAcentral's name for it is "partial 16S ribosomal RNA". It matches the Rfam family "Bacterial small subunit ribosomal RNA", at positions 338 to 630 of the family's 1533-position model. The record is from RNAcentral.